AAGAAGGUUUCAUCAAGAACAUCCCCCUUGCCCGCUACUCGUAAGUCAUGGCCUUCGACACCCUCACCAAGAACAACAGGGAUAUCACCUGCUAAAACUUCUGGUGGAAUCUCUUCUGCUGGCACUACACCAACACAUCGGAAACCUCAGUCAGCACAAUCAGUACCUCGACCAAGUUCUAAAGUGGAAAGCGCCCAGCCAGAAAGAAAAAAUGUAAAGGCAACCCAGGCUGAUAAACGAGGUUUAAAGAGUGUGAAUGAGAAGCAGCAACAAAGAUUGAUGAAAGGCAGCAAAACACCAAAGACAAAAGUUGCCGCAGCACCUGGAGACUCUUCCAGUAUGGUUCCAGCAAAGCCUAGUUUGUAUAACAAGAUGACCAAGAAAAGUAGUGUAGUUCCGCUGGAAGCAAAGCCAUUUCUCCGUAAAGGUUCAGGAUUUACCUCUAGUGUUGGUCUCGUUAACAAGAUAAAAAAUCCCUCUCUGUUGGAGGACUCUCUGAAAACCACUGAAAAUUCAAUUGAUACUCAAGAGAGUGAUGUGAUUGUUAAUGCUUCUGUCCUGGUGAAUGAGCAUCAGGAUCAGGAUAUUUCAUCACUGGAUCAUUGUGAUGAUGAUAUUCAGUUAGAAACACAAGUAAAUGGCCAUCAGAAAUCUGAUGUGAUUGAGAGCAUUGAUGAACUUGCUCCUGAUGUUGAUGAUGGCUUAAAAAAUAUUGCUGAGUCUUCAAAAUGUGAGGAAGAAUUAACCAUCUCCCCAGCUGCUUGGGUGGAAAUAGAAGAGCAUCAGGACCUGCCUAACCAAUGUGAUGACAACACAGGUGAAAAUACAUCUUCAGCAAGCAUUGCUCCUGUUGGAUCGGCAAGUCCACGGGUCCGUCACUCUCUGUCACAGAUGCUGCAAGAAGAAAGUAGUGAAGCUGAUACUACUGAAUGGGGAAAUGCUGAAAAUCCGCCUGCAAUGGUCUAUCAAAAAGAUGCACCCAAGGGACUGAAGAGGCUGUUGAAGUUUGCUCGGAAGAGUAAGGGGGAUGCAAAUAUAACUGGUUGGUCUAGCCCAUCAGUCUUUUCUGAAGGAGAGGAUGAUGCAGAAGAAUCAAAAGCUAUUAAUAAGAGAAAUGCUGAUAACCUACUGCGAAAGGCUGCCCUUCAGGCAAAGAACUAUGGGCAACAAAAGAUGUCGUGUGAGGGCUAUGAAAAUCAUUUGGAUGCUCAUGAGCUCCCAUCUGGUAUAUUCUCUCUUUGCCAUAUGCAUUACAUGCUUCUUUUCUAUCAAACUGUUUCUCAAAUAGAAAGAAUCUAGAUGGUUACGGGUCAAAAGCAUAGAAAUAGCUGCUUUCAUGCUUGUGGCAUAUCAUUCUAUACCUUGUCUAUUUUUGCUUCUUUGCUCAACUUUCUGGGAAAUUCCAAAAUACUUGUGAAUAUUUACCAUUACCUGACUCUUCACCGAGUCUCACUAUGAAAGUAUUCUGGAUUUUGUGCAUGCAGCUCAAUCAGGCAUCAGCACAUUUGAUGCCCACAAAAUGCACAAGGGCAGUGUCUCAACUGCAGCCUCCACUACUAAAGGUCAUUUUCCAUCUUCAUUACUCUCUUGCUGUUUCCUUUGUUCCUUUUCCUUUCAAUUUUCUGGAAUAAUUGUUUAUUCUGUUUUUACUUGGCUGCAGUAUGAUUUGUAGUUGCACAUUCCAAUCUUUUUUUACCAUGAUUGUGUUUCAGGGACAAGGUCAUUCUUCUCCCUUUCAGCAUUUAGGGGUAGCAAACCAAGUGAGAUGAAGCUUCGCUAAAACUAGGAUGAUUACAAAAGUCAAGGUUAUUGACAUAUGCUCGCUUGCAGUCUUAGGCUAACUAAGCUUUGCUGGAGGCCAAAAUUUCCUCUGCUUUUCUCUUAUCAUUUUUCUGGUGUAUUGUUUUGCAUGUCAGCCGCCAGGGAUCAUGUCUAUGCUUGGGUUUUGUGUUGGUGGGGUGUGCAUGUAUAUACAGUACGUUGCAGUAUUAGGAUUUCCAUCCUGCUAAACAGAUUGUUCCAUGUUAACCACUAUGUUGAGGACAUGAAACAAUGAUGAAUUAAUUGAUUUUGUUUGGUACGAGCACAUUAUAACAGCGUUCAAACUUUUCAAGCCUUUGUUCCCUGAAACCCUGUAGACAGCCAGAUUCUUAUAUCACUACAUGGAAGCCUUGGGACACUAAGCACACCGUGACUGGCAUGCGUAUGGUGACUGGCAACCAUAUAACCUUGGAUUCCCAUUUGUUGACUCAACUAGUUCCUAUGGUUGAUCAAAGAAUCUGCAGUUUUCAUUCUUCCAAGGCUGGGCCUUUCACUUAUUUGCUUCAGCAGCUACUGGAUUGGAGAAUUUCCAGCAUAACACAUUCCUUUUAACACCAUGUGUUUGUAUUGGAAUUGCUUUCAGAUUCGGAAAUGAAACGGCAAGCGUGUAGUUCAAACUUCAAACUUCAAAGUGUGAAGCUGUAUAAAUAAUUAUAGUUUAACGACUUGCGUGUCCAGCUUAGCUUAUGAAACAGCUUCUCAUGAUUAAUAGAAUGAAAAAAAGAAAAUUAAACAUAAAAUCCUAUUACAUUGUACUCUUAGAAGAACUCCCAAUCUUGAGCAACAUCUUAACAGGUUUGAAAUAGAUGAUAUCUGUCUUCAGUUCCCUCCUUUUUUAUUUUUAGGUGAGCAGUAAUAAAAUUCAGCAUGAACAAUUGAACAACUCCCAGAGUUCAGACCAAGUUCAAAAACCAGUGAAGAUAAGCAUAAAGAGGAACUGGAACACCCACCCCCCCUUCGUUUUCCUCCUCUACCUUCCCUUUCCUGGCUUCACAACAUAUUAACCAUUUCUACCCUUUAAGCUAAAAGCACAAAGGUCUGUCCUUUUGCCUCUAUUGAAAUGCUCAAUGAAAUAAUAAUCAUGAGAAUUAUCACAAACAACUCUGAAACAUGCAUUUUCUCAGAGAUAUUAGGUCAGCUUGUAUCUGUAGCUAAAGAUAUGGAAAUUCACAGAAAGUUGAAUUCAACAAGCAUCAAUAGCAAAGAAGCAGUUGAAAGCAGCUACAGCCAAGAAGCUAUUCCACCGCAGUUAGCUUCAUAACGCAACCAUUUAAUUACUCAAUGACAAACAAGUUCAGUUCAAAUACUGAUAGAUAUCUCAACAGCGAAAAUAAUCAUGAUAUAAAACUAUUGAUCAGACUUUUAAUAUAUUUGAGAGAUCCUGACUACAAGAAUAGCUAGACCAUUAUAAAAGAUAGAUGAACAAAAGAGAUGAUUUUCAGAGUGGCAAUUGAACCUUUCACCCCCGCAUCACUGGUCCUAAAGAUGGCUGCCCCACAAUCUAAUCUGAUCUCAAUGAAUGCUGCCCUGAAAAUUCAGAGGAUCCAAAUGGCUGCUGUCCUGCCAUUUGUGAAGGUCCUGAAUAUUGCUGUCCUGCCAUUUGUGAAGGUCCAGUAUAUUGCUGUCCUGCCAUCGGAGGGGAACCUAAUGACCGCGGUGGUGGCUGUCCCCAAGAUCGAGCUUGAGGCCCAGGGAAUCUCCACCUAUUUUCAUUUAAAACUCUAUCAAUCUCUUCAUUCCGCCCAACUUUCCCAAAAGCCCCACGUACAAACUCCUGCAAUGCAGGAGUAACACCAAUGGAAUACUUCAUCAUCUGGUCCAGUAUAUCUAGGGUCUUGUCCAACUCAUCAGCAUUGCAAAGCCCUCUGACUACAAUAUCAUAAAUAGAGGCAUCCGGUUUAGGAUCUUUCUCCCCCAUUUUUGUCAAAAGAGAUGCAGAUUCCAUGUUCUUGCCAUUCUUAAGAAAUUCACUGAAAACCUUAGCUCCAAAACUGGCAACCACCCUCAAACCAGUCUCCACCAUUUUUGUAAAUGACUGCAGAGCAUCAUCAACCCGCUCUGCUUUCAAGUAUGCAUCAAUCAUGGUUCUAUACAUUGGAACAUCUGGCGUCAAAGACUUUCCACACAAUUCUUGAAAAAAUUUCUCCGCCUCAGAUAGCAUCCCAUGCUCACAAAACCUGGUGAUGAUAUUAUUAUAACCAGCAACAUCCAUGGCAAAAGGCUUGGAUCCAGGCUUCGUGCCUACCUUCUUAAAGGUUCUAAUGGCCUCCUCAAUAUUCCCCAACUUGAAACACUCAUUCACCAUGAUAUUAAAAGUAUCUGAAUUCACUGCCUGUAUGUUGGGUGGGGUGUGAUUGUCCAACAUAUCAUCGAACAAGGCCCAAGCUUCUUUCGUCUUCCCAUGUUUAAGCAAAACCUCCAAAAGUGCAUUACAAGUAGGAGGGGGCAUCUUAAAUUUCCUAUCCAACAACGACUUAUAUGAGUCCAUGGCCUCCUUAUCCUUCCCCUGAUUAAACCACCACUCCAUAAACGUAGCAUUGACAACUCCAUCAUAAACCAAGCAACGCUCUUUCAAUUCAUCAAACAGCUCAUUGGCCUUAUCCAGAUUCCCCAAAUUCAAAAAUCCCAAUAUGAGGUUGUUGAAAACCAAAGAGUCGGCACCGUGCCCUUUAUUCAACAUCUCCCUGAGCAGAUCCACAGCUUCCCCAAUCCUCCCAGCAUCGAUCAAGCCCUUAGUCAAGUGCCUAUAAGUCACAGGAGAGGGGUUAAACGGCGCGUUUUCCAAAAUCUCGUGGUAAACUCGGAUAGCAGUAUCAACUUCACCCGUAUCGCAAUAGGUAUUAAUCAAAUUGUUGUAAGAAACAACAUUUGGAACAAUAUCAGAUUGCUUAAAGAAGAAGUGAAAGAGAGCAAUUGCCUCGUUGAAGCGUUUGUUGCGGUACAUGGCGGCGAUGAUGGCGUUGCAGGUGAAGACAGUGGGGCGAGUGGAGGAGAACACGGAGGAGCGAGCAAGGAGAGAGGCGGCGUCUAGGUCGGAGGCGCGGAUAAGGGACUGAACACGGUUGUGAAGGUUAAGCCGAUGCCCAACGAGGGCCGAGGUGCUGUCUGGAAGCCGCGGGGCAUUGGGAUCACGAGUGGGAGGGCCAGAGGGGGCAGAGGCACGGAGGGCGUGUAUUGGGGGCUCUAUUCGCAAUCGACGCUUGCGGCGGCGUCGCUCUGCCGCGGCUUCUUCUGCGGAAGUGAAGGCGUAAGAGCGCGGGGGUGGGGGAGGAGUGUGAGCCUGAGGAUUUUGGAUUGGGUUUUCAGAGGCAGGGUUGAACGCUGCAUUGUGGAGGAAGCAGGAGAGGGGAAGGGCCGCGUUGGGACGCUGGUGGAGGUGAUGGUGGUUGAGGGAGCGGAGAAGAAGGCGGUAGAGGGACAUGGCUAAUGCAGAGAGCGAGUGAGAGACGAACCAAAAUGCUUAAACCCUAGACAGCUGAUGCCUAAACCUUAGACUUAAAACUGUCUCUGUCUCUGCUUGAGUUUUUUAUGUUUUCUUUUGUAUUAAUAAAUAAAGUUAAUUUAUAAAUGCAUGUAGGAGUGGAGAAAAAAGAUCUUAUAUUUUUAUUAAUGCUUAAAACUAUUAUUUGAGUAAUACCUAUUUUGUAUUUAAUUUUGAUUAAAAUAAAUAAUUUAAAGAUAAUAUCACACUUAAUUUAAGUUUUUAAUUAAUUUUGAAUUAAAAAAAUUAUAAUAUUUGAUUUUUUAAUGAGAAUUGGAUAAAUUUUUUUUUAAAAAAAAGAAAAGAAUGAAUGAUUCAAAAAGAAUAAUAACUAAAUAACAAAAAAAAUAAAAUUUAUUUUCAGUGAGAAUAUUUUAUGCAAGUUAAAAAAAUUUGAGCUGUGAAAGUAGGCAAGCCAAGCCUAUCACAGAAAAGAAAGCAGUUAAGAAUGGAAAAGCUUAGAUGUUUGGCUCCACAGAGCGUGAGGCGGAGGGUGGCAGAGAGCAGUGCUGAUGAUCUUCCUUCAUUAUCGUACUCCCUUGUUGACCUGUUUCUCAGUUUGCCGGAAUUUCAUCAGUUGAUCGGAGAGUUGAAAGAGGAAGACCAGUCUGCUUUGGACUCGAAAUAAAAGGGCAAAAAUCUUGUUGUGAGUCUGUCACCUGUGCUCUACUAAGUGUGUGUUUGUUUUUGGGUAGAAAAUGGACCUCCCAGCGUAAUACCAUCUCACAAUUUUCCGUUUUGUUAUAUGCCAUUAAGUAGAGUAGAGUAGAGUGAUGUUUAUACCCACACAAAAUGAGAUGAGAUGUCUACAAAUUAAUUUAAUAGAAUAGAUAAUAAAACCAAAAAGUUAUGAAAACAUAUAUAAAUAAAAUCUAAUCACAUAAUUAAUAAAUGUCUACAAAUUUAAUAGAUAAUAAACCAAAAAACUAUGAAAACAUAAAUAAAUUAAUACAUAAAAUCUAAUCACAUAAUUAGUAAAUGUCUAAAAUAACUUGAUUCAUAGCAACUAGAAUAGCUUGAUCCACAACGAUGGGAAAAAUGAAUUAAGCAGAUCCGAUGCUUCAUCAUCAUCUAUAUACUCUACGUCUUUCUUAUAAUCACAAUUGUAAAUACCUAUAUCAGAGACACUAACUCGAGUAUAAUUAAAAGGAAUAUCAUCCGUACAAUUAAGCUUGCAACUAGGGUGGUCAACUAUCAAGAUGGAAAAAGUGCAACAAUUUCCAAAAAACAAAGAGUGAUCACCCAAUGAUAAAAUUUUCUCUCAAUUCUUUGUAUGCAUGUCAAGUUUGAAAUUUUCAAAAUUUUUCGUUAAAUUAACUCGUUCAACUUUUCCACUAUCAUAACUAACCUUAUACGGAUAAUGUUGGCGAAUUAUCAUACAAAGAUGACCUCCCCAAUCAACAAUAUAUUUCUUCUCAUCAUCAGGAUAAUCCAUUGGAGGUGGUGCAGCAAAUUCAACAACUUUUGGAGAUGGCCCAUUUAAGUCCUCAAAUAAAAUAAGUUGCCCCGUACGCCGAACAGCAAAGAAAUUGCCAUUGAUAUAGUUGACAUCAUCCAAUAGACAAGCAUCGUCCAAUAGAGAGGUAUCAUCCAAUAGAGAGAGGUAAAAGAAAUUUGAGUCCAUGCUUGAUCACCGGGUUUUGCAAAAGCUAACGAAUCCAUCUCCCCAUAAACUCUAUGUCCAUAAAUUAUCAUAACAAUACAAUCAGAGGAAGUUGGACUCGAGGAUAAUAAGACUUUGUGUAUAAAAUAUAAACGCAAUUGUUGUGGUGUAUGGUGCGUUAUAUCAUAGUCUAAGGUUCGUUGUGAUGGAAGGGAGAUACUUGCUCUCGAUAAAGGAUUAAACAAUCCAAUUUCAAGAUCAAGGCCGUAAUUGACCAACCAACCAAAAGGAGUGCCCCAGCAUCUCUUUCCUCGGAUCUCCGGCAGUUCAAGCUCAAGGAUAGUUUCUGUUGCACCAAUAUUAAAACAACGUCUAUCACUAUUCUUUUUCUCUGCAAGCAUAAAAAAUUAUAUGAAAAUUGAUUUUUUCAUUCUUCAGUGAAGCUUGCCAAGAUCGACAAACUGCGCCCAUCCGAACACGAUCUUGAAAAGAGUAAGUUUUAUCGGCAAUGGAUCUUAACAUCUCACCUACAAUAUUACCCCAAUCAGCGACUUGUUCUUUCAUGAGAGACAUGAUGAAGUAGAAAAGAGGAGCAAUUUGGUUUUCUUUCUUUCUUUGCAGGAUAGUUAAUGAUUUGGGUUGUGACUCCUAACCUCAUCUUUUAUACAUGAUCUUUCCUAUUCCUCGUAGAACCUGAAUUGACUUAUAGUACAUUCUAAAUAGGAAUAAUGAAUUUAAUUGCAUUGAUGAAGUAAAAGUAGUGCUGUCUAAGGACUCUUGAAACUCGGAGGAAGGGAAUUCGCAUGAAAAGUUAAUUAAUUAAAUUUGAGCAGACAUGCGGAGGCUGCUCUGAAAGUAGGCAAGCCUAUCGCACAAGAAAGAGAGCAGUCGAGAAUGGAGAAGCUUAGAUGUUUGGUUCCAGAAAGCGUGAAGCGGAGGGUGGCAGAGAGCACUGCUGAUGAUCUUCCUUCAGUUUCAUCUUCCCUGGUUCACUUGUUUCUCAGUUUGCCGGAAUUCCAUCAGGUGAUCGGAGAUUUGGCAGACCCCGGCCCAAACCCAAAGAGAAAGGCCGGUCUUUGCUGCAAGAACAAGGAGGCUGCUUUGGACUUGAAACAAAAGGGCAAUCAAUGCUAUUCCACUGGAGAUUACUCCCAGGCUUUGCGUUGCUAUUCCCAGGUCUUUUCUUCUUUUAUAUUCCAUUAAUGAUUGAAAUAAAUACGUUAAAGAAUUUGCCUUUCUUAUUUUUCUAUCCAAAAAAAUAAAAAUCCCUUGUUUUUUGCUCGAGCAACAGGCGCUUCGUGUUGCUCCCAUUGAUGCCGACGACACGGGCAAAAAUCUUGUUGCAACAUUGUAUUUAAAUCGAGCUUCCUUAUUUCACGUGAGUCUGUCACUUGUCACUGCCAAAUUCUAUUUUUGUUUUCCUCUUGUGCUCCACUACAGCCACCCUUUUUUGGUCAUCCAAUUCUAAGAGAAAACAAGUCUUUUCCAUUGUUAAUUUCUCUAAUGUGUUUGUUUUUCGGUAGAAAAUGGACCUCCCAAUGGAGUCUCUCCGAGAUUGCAGCAGGGCUCUUCAAAUUUCUCCUUGCUAUCCAAAGGUACAUAUCAUUUGCUGCUUCCCAUACACAGUUAUUAAUAUGGCUUUCUGUUGUGCCAAACCACAUAUGCCAUUUCUUUCCUUUUAUUUCUUUCUGCUUCCUGCUUAUUCCACCAAACUACUCGGUGGCAGUGACAAAUCUUUAUCACAGGCGUGGUAUAGGAGAGGCAAGGUAAAUGCUACUCUGGGGAAUUAAGAAGAUGCGGUCCAUGACUUAAUUGCUGCUAAGAACAUGGAGCCAUCACUAGGGGGAAAGCAACAGAUAGAAAGUGAACUGGAUAUACUUGGACAGCAUCAUGACAGGAAAAGUGCUAAAUCAGUUCACCCUAACCAGAUAAGUGUAGGAAUUCCAGGUUAGAUGGUAACCACUGAUCAGCAUCCAAAUAUCUCUGUUUUUGCGCUUGCAUUUUUCAUCAAUAACCAAUCCUUUUUUAAAUUUUUUUUCACAUUUUGCUUUCCUAUGACCAUUCUAUUAAAAGUCAUAGAGAAUUUUGAAAUUCUUAUACUUGUUCGUUACAAUUGUUUGUAAUCUCUCGCAGAGAAGAAUUAUAUUUGCUUAUAAAGUCCUUAUACAGGCUUUAUUGCUGCCUAAACACAUUGUCUUAGAGGUUUUGUAGAUUGAUUAGCUUUUAUGUCAGUAAGCAUCACAAUUGUGUGAUCUGCCUUGUAGUUACUUUGAGGAUUGGUGUUUAUUAUUUAUUCCAAUCUUGUAUUUUUUUGGUAUAUACUUGUAACACAAGGUGAUUUUUUAAAAAAAAAAUUAUGAAGACAGUACAAAUCAUUUGUCAGAUGUGCCCCACCAAAUAAAACUAAACUGUGUCACAACACCAGAUAAAGGAAGGGGUAUGGCUUCCCAAUUUGAAAUUCCAGAAACAAUCGGCGUUGAGUCUCAUUUGCAGGUACUUUAAUUCCUUUGUGGUGCAAUUUGGAGUUAAGAUUGGCUAUACAGUAAAAGAAUGAGUAGAGGCUAGCUGAAUCCUCUGCUAAAUACUAAAACAAAAUAUCUGUUUUAAAUUCCUAUAAAGGAAUGGUUAAUACAUUAAAUUUUUUUUUUUUUGGAAUGGUUAAUACAUUCUAGUUAAUAUUCAACAAUUGCCAAUAAUAGAUGAAUAUAUUGGUAAGGAAACAGUUGUUACUUAAUUAAUGUACUUUUCUCAGAAACUUAAUUAAAGCAUGUCUUAUGGUUUUGUGAACAUUAUUUUGUAGUAUGUAGGUUAUUUGUGUGGAAUUUCGUUGGUUUUUCCAGAGUUGGUUUGAUGGACUAUGUAACUUUUGUAAAUCUCCAGUCACAUGAGCUCAAUGAUAUUGACAUCAAGAAAGUAGCUCACAUUUCACUUGAUGAAACAUGUAGUUCGCUCCGUAUUGAUUCUGAGUAUUGCUUGAAAUGUGGUUCCUGCUGCUAUUUGGCUUCUAUGAGUGAAGCAGUUAAAAAAGCUUGGGUUAAUCUCAGAAGGUAUACAGUUAAUAUGCACCAAGGCUUUUGUGAUGUUCUCGAUUAUAUUCUUUCUGAAUCUAUGGAAUCACAUAUCAGGAUCUUGGUUCUGUUUCUUUUCUUUUUUUUUUUUUUUAAAUAUAAUCUUGUCAAGAUUAUAAUCUCUGAGUCUAGGCUGUACUUUUCGCAUUCAUUUUAAAUUAUGUUGUAAAGCCUUAACUCAUGAUAAAUAGAUGUACAUACUGCCCUACAGAGAAGCACAUAUGUUUUACCUACAGUUUGUUCAUUGCCUAAUAGGCUGCAGGAUUCAAUAACUUUAAAAGAUAUGCACGGUACUGAGCUUUCAGAUGCUUUGAGAUCUGUUGGCAUUCUGAGAUCAAUGCUGCAUGCUUAUAACAAAGGCAUUGGAGAAGUGAGUUUCAUUGACUAAUUAUUAGCCCCUUCCCAGAAGCUCUGCCAUUCUGAGUUUAAUGGGAAUUACAACCGAUGAUAUGAGAUGUUACCAUGUAUGAAAUUGUCUUUUGCAGGCAGAGGACAAUCUUGCACAGGCAUUUUGUUUCACAGGAGAUUUGCAGCCAGCAAGAGACCAUUGUAAAGCAUCGACUGAGGUAACUGCUUGCCAGUGCAAGAAUCAUAUGGCUAUUCAAUUCUGAUGAAUCCAGUUAUAACUGGUUAUAACUGUUGGUUUAUGUUAACCAGUUAUAACUAUUUAGUCUUUUGUUUACUGCUUUGAUGUUAAGAACAAUUUUUAAAUCAUAUUAGUGCAGUUAUAAGGUAUCAAAUGUUUCAUGAAUUGGUUAAAUGAGAAAAGAUAAUGAUAGUUAAGAGAAGAGGAGGAAGGAGUAAAAAUGGGAAGAGUGAGUGGGGAGAGAUCUACUAGAGGCUCCCAAAUCAUUUCACCAUUUCUUCAAUAAACUUUAAAUGUCUAAUAUCAAUUCUUGACAUCAGAAAUGUUCUGUGAAUAGGGACUGUGUCAAACCUAAUAAAUCAAACUGGCUGUUGGGGUUCUGGAAAAACUCUUGCCACAUUUACCCAGAGUAAGCAACUUGUACACCAAAGGAUUCAAUGCUAACUUCAAACUCCAACCACCUGAGAAUCUAAAGAGUUCUGCAUGGUUUACUAAAUCUACUUUGAGCAGGUUCUUAAUUGUUUUACUACCUUAAGCAUUUCACAUUUUCCAUUUUUUCAUUCUGGUCAGUAUAUUGCUAGAAAGCAGUGGGCGCCUACUGUCCUUACACUGUUGUACUUUCUCAGGUUCCUACAUAUUGUCAGUUCAAUUGGAGGAAGCUAGAAAAUUUCAUCUUUCUCUAUAUGCUAAGGUAAGAUCAUGUGUCCUUAAGUGUGUGGAUUUUUAUUCAUGCAGGAGACCUCAAUAACAAAAACUUCAUCUUUUUAGGGUCAUGAAGAUCAUAUUGAAAGCAGCAAAACCGGUAAAUCUUAUGUAGAAGGAAAUCAGAGUCGGACACUAGUCAUUGCCUUGAUAUAUUCCCUUAGUUUCAUAGUCUGUUUGUUUGUUUGUUUUUUUCUAAAUGUUACAAUCUUCUUAAAUACUUUGAUACUGUAGGAGUAUUAUUCCUUAUUUUACUUUCUAUCUGUUCAUAUUCGUAUAGCAAAUAGACUGAAAAGCUUCAACUUUAGUAUUCUUUUGAUUAAGGUUUCCUUUUAAACUAUUUGGGGACAUAAGUUGUAUCCCUUUUCUGUCUUGCCAAUCUCCUUAAUUUUGUGUUGCAUAAAUGGUGCCUAAAAGUUUUGAGAGAUUUAAUGGUUCUCUUUCCUUGUUCAACAGAUAUCUGCAAAUCAGUAGACGUGGUCCUGGCAUCCAAUGUAACCGCUAUUCUUUACAACUUUUUGUAAUCAAUUUUUUCUUAUAGGGUCUUUAGGAGUUGAUCUUAUUAUUCUACAUGUUAUUUCACCAUAAUUUAUUGUGGUCACUAAUAUAUGCAUUUGACCUCAGCAGUCCAAAGUCCCGAAUUCAUCAUCAGAUAUCUCAAAGUAUGUUCACUCCAUUAAUAUAUAUAUCUAUAUAUGUUGUUAGUUAGUUAGUGUGUUUUAGUUUUCCUGCAAAUCUGACCAACCUUUGGAAAUUUUAUUGCUAGAAAUGAGCUCUUAUGUGCUAUAGACUCAAGACUGGCAGCAUUAAGAAGUGAGUUAGUUGCAGCUUUUAACCAGGCAGUUGGAGAAACCUGCUCCUAUGAAGAAAUCACUCAUCUAGCAAAAUUUUGUGAAAAUUUUGGAGCAAAUGAUUUAAAGUAAGUUGCCUUCCAAAAGAAGCAUGGAUCUUUUAAAUUCUGAUUUGCCCAUAGAAUUUGUAAAUGCAAUCUUUUCUUACCAAAAAUUUUGUUCCCAAAUUUUUACAACAUUUUUUCAAAAAAAUUAUAAGCAAAAGAUAAUCUUGUUAGUAUCUAUUACAGGAAUUUUUUGUGCAUGUUCCUAGAGCUGAGCCCAAAGAGCCAAGCUGCUAAUGCCCCAGAUGAUGAAAAGUCUUCAUUUAGUCAUGCUUCAGUGAAUGACAGCAUAAUUAAGACUGAUGGAAAUAAUCAAAUAUCAAAGCCAGUAUGUUCAGAAACACCAGUUAAAUAUGGUGUUUCACCAGCAAAAGUUGCCCAGGUUGAACGUCAGAGUGCAACAGAAAGUGAGGAAUCUUCUGACUCAAGUGAUGAGAAUCAAAAGUCUGCAGAAAGAAGUCGAGUCUUAUAAGAUCUGCAUCCCCUUGACGGUCAGCAUCUCCCAUGCGAAGGGUUCAAAUAGGGACGAGCGGCUCUUGUAGAGCCCCUGCUCUGACCAUUAAGAGCCUUAGUUACUUUCCUACCAAAGAAAAGAUUUUUUCUCACAGAGAUGUAGCUUCAGAUGAUAGUGAAGGCGAAGGAUCUGGGCAGAGUAAGAAGCCUGAGGGUAAUGUUCGGCGUAUGAGUGUUCAAGAUGCAAUAAAUCUUUCUGAAAGUAAACAAAGGGAUCAGGUUUCUGAUAUGCCACAAAAGAACUCAUUAACAAACGUCUCUCUUGGUGCUAGUAAGUCUGUAUUGAAAAGAUGGAGUGCAGGUGUGGGUGAAUCAUCCUCCCAAUGCCAAUUGCAGAAUGCUUCUGAAGAUCCUGUUCCAGAGCCUCCUGAUAAUGUCAUUGAUAAUGAUACCAUGGGGAGGUCAGCAGGAGUUGAUUUGGAAUCUGAUUCUAGAAGUGGAGGUCAGAUCAUCAAUGAGACUGUUGAUGUGAACUUAGAAAGGCUGGAAGAGAGCUCAUGUAGUCCAAUAGAUGUUCAAGAGGUCACAGAUAAAAUCCAAGAAGAUGAAGCUAAUGAAAGGUCAGAAAGCUCAGCUGAAUGGAGUAGACAGAAGGAAGUGGAGUUAAACCAAACGUUCAAAAAAAUGAUGGAAAAUCAGCCUGUUAGCUGUGGGAAGCCUCAAACUAAUGUCAGACAAAAUCUGCCUCCGGAGCAGAGAGGUGGAUUUUAUGACCAUUACAAGGUGAAGAGGGAUUGCAAACUGAGAGGUGAAAAUGCUGGAAAGCAUGCUGAAAAAGAAGAAAAAUUUAGAGCAAUGCAGAAGGUUCUUGAUGAGAGGAAAGCUGAAAUGGCUUCCAAAAAUGUGAAUAAUUUUUCUAAAAAGGAUCCUCCAACAAAGUCCCAAAAAUCUGUUAAGAAUCCACCAAAAGUACUUAAGAGUCCUUAUCAGCCUGCUAAUGCAAGGAAAGAAGCCACAAAACCUUCAACUGUGAAGAAGGUUUCAUCAAGAACAUCCCCCUUGCCCACUACUCGUAAGUCAUGGCCUUCAACACCCUUACCAAGAACAACAGGGAUAUCAUCUGCUAAAACUUCUGGUGGAAUCUCUUCUGCUGGCACUACACCAACACAUCGGAAACCUCAGUCAGCACAAUCAGUACCUCGACCAAGUUCUAAAGUGGAAAGUGCCCAGCCAGAAAGAAAAAAUAUAAAGGCAACCCAGACUGAUAAACGAGGUUUAAAGAGUGUGAAUGAGAAGCAGCAACAAAGAUUGAUGAAAGGC
This 13929-nucleotide long non-coding RNA is filed under the name Theobroma cacao (cacao). RNAcentral's name for it is "long non-coding RNA (TCAC_LNC006144)". Lineage: Eukaryota; Viridiplantae; Streptophyta; Magnoliopsida; Malvales; Malvaceae. The record is from RNAcentral.